RNAcentral lists this long non-coding RNA (235 nucleotides) under Elaeis guineensis (African oil palm). Its description in RNAcentral is "long non-coding RNA (EGUI_LNC043495)". The record is from RNAcentral. Lineage: Eukaryota; Viridiplantae; Streptophyta; Magnoliopsida; Arecales; Arecaceae.
AGCUCAAAUCUUCUUCCAAAGAUCAAGAACAAAUUUUUAGUCUUUCUCAAGUACUUAAGUAUUUUUUACAGCUAUCCAGUACUCUUCAUCUGAAUUCGACUGAUAUCUGCUCGUGACACUCAUGGCAAGAACUAUAUAUAGCAUACAUAAGGCUUUCUAUUAUUGAAGCAUAAGGGAUCUUGCUCAUGCAUUAGAUCUCCUCCGGUGUGUUGGGCACAUCUUCUUGGAGAGAUAA